AGCUUUGUAGCACAGCGGAAGCGCGUCGGGCUCAUAGAGAUCACCCGAAGGUCAACGGAUCGAAACCGUUCAAAGCUA
Molecule: transfer RNA, 78 nt
Filed under: Zymoseptoria tritici IPO323
Lineage: Eukaryota; Fungi; Ascomycota; Dothideomycetes; Mycosphaerellales; Mycosphaerellaceae
Also listed under: 2 other names
Description: Zymoseptoria tritici tRNA-Met for anticodon CAU
Rfam family: tRNA
About the family: Transfer RNA (tRNA) molecules are approximately 80 nucleotides in length. Their secondary structure includes four short double-helical elements and three loops (D, anti-codon, and T loops). Further hydrogen bonds mediate the characteristic L-shaped molecular structure. tRNAs have two regions of fundamental functional importance: the anti-codon, which is responsible for specific mRNA codon recognition, and the 3' end, to which the tRNAs corresponding amino acid is attached (by aminoacyl-tRNA synthetases). tRNAs cope with the degeneracy of the genetic code in two manners: having more than one tRNA (with a specific anti-codon) for a particular amino acid; and 'wobble' base-pairing, i.e. permitting non-standard base-pairing at the 3rd anti-codon position.
Source: Rfam by way of RNAcentral